Molecule: ribosomal RNA, 426 nt
Filed under: uncultured bacterium
Lineage: Bacteria
Description: bacterial SSU rRNA
Rfam family: Bacterial small subunit ribosomal RNA
Source: RNAcentral
GGGGAAUUUUGGACAAUGGGCGCAAGCCUGAUCCAGCCAUGCCGCGUGCAGGAUGAAGGCCUUCGGGUUGUAAACUGCUUUUGUACGGAAAGAAAAGCUUCGGGUUAAUACCCCGGGGUUCUGACGGUACCGGAAGAAUAAGCUCCGGCUAACUUCGUGCCAGCAGCCGCGGUAAUACGAAGGGUGCAAGCGUUACUCGGAAUUACUGGGCGUAAAGCGUGCGUAGGUGGUUGUUUAAGUCUGAUGUGAAAGCCCUGGGCUCAACCUGGGAAUGGCAUUGGAAACUGGGCAGCUAGAGUGCGGUAGAGGGUAGUGGAAUUCCCGGUGUAGCAGUGAAAUGCGUAGAGAUCGGGAGGAACAUCUGUGGCGAAGGCGACUGCCUGGACCAGCACUGACACUGAGGCACGAAAGCGUGGGGAGCAAACA